GGGUGAUUAGCUCAGCUGGGAGAGCACCUCCCUUACAAGGAGGGGGUCGGCGGUUCGAUCCCCGUCAUCACCC
This 73-nucleotide transfer RNA is filed under the name Salmonella enterica subsp. enterica serovar Enteritidis str. 648901 39-2. RNAcentral's name for it is "tRNA-Val". It matches the Rfam family "tRNA". From Rfam's summary of the family: Transfer RNA (tRNA) molecules are approximately 80 nucleotides in length. Their secondary structure includes four short double-helical elements and three loops (D, anti-codon, and T loops). Lineage: Bacteria; Pseudomonadati; Pseudomonadota; Gammaproteobacteria; Enterobacterales; Enterobacteriaceae. The record is from RNAcentral.